GACGAACGCUGGCGGCGUGCUUAACACAUGCAAGUCGAGCGGUAAGGCCCUUUCGGGGGUACACGAGCGGCGAACGGGUGAGUAACACGUGGGUGACCUGCCCUCAGCUCUGGGAUAAGCCUGGGAAACUGGGUCUAAUACCGGAUAUGACUCCAUGACGCAUGUUGUGGGGUGGAAAGCCUUGUGCGGCUGAGGAUGGGCCCGCGGCCUAUCAGCUUGUUGGUGGGGUGANGGCCUACCAAGGCGACGACGGGUAGCCGGCCUGAGAGGGCGACCGGCCACACUGGGACUGAGAUACGGCCCAGACUCCUACGGGAGGCAGCAGUGGGGAAUCUUGCGCAAUGGGCGAAAGCCUGACGCAGCGACGCCGCGUGAGGGAUGACGGCCUCGGUU
This 393-nucleotide ribosomal RNA is filed under the name uncultured bacterium. Its description in RNAcentral is "bacterial SSU rRNA". It matches the Rfam family "Bacterial small subunit ribosomal RNA", at positions 28 to 424 of the family's 1533-position model. The record is from RNAcentral.